Molecule: small RNA, 125 nt
Filed under: Marmota monax (woodchuck)
Lineage: Eukaryota; Metazoa; Chordata; Mammalia; Rodentia; Sciuridae
Source: RNAcentral
GCUGGGCAUGGUAGUACAUGCCUGUAAUCCCAGCAGCUCGGGAGGCUGAGGCAGGAGGAUCUCGAGUUCAAAGCCAGUCUCAGCAAAAGCAAGGUGCUAAGCAACUCGGUGAGACCCUGUCUCUA